GUCAUCUUUGUCUCUUAUCCAAACAUUUUUUGUAAGAUGAUGUUUCUGGUUACAUUGAACUGCAUACUGUCUAAGUGAACUGGGAUUCUCAUACACCUUUUGCUUUUUACCAGAAAUAUAUGGUCUAAUAAGGUGCCUUUUCCCCUGAUUUAUUGAACCACAAUAUGACAAUAAACCACCAGUGGCAGCAACUCUACCGUUAAGGUCUCUGCUGUAUGCCCUUUCUGCCUUCCGAAACCACUUAUCAUCCUCAAAGUUCUCCGGAGACGGUAAGCAGCUAGCAUCUUGAUCAUCCCACGCCUCGUUCCUAUAAUCUAUAUCUUGAGUUCUGCUAAUGUUAUUCUUCCUUUCACUGAACACAAUCUGUCCAGAGCUGUGCCUCAUCAUUUCUUCAUCUAAAAUGUACUUUCUCUUCUCUGACCUUAUUGGAUGACCAU
This 437-nucleotide unclassified non-coding RNA is filed under the name Hevea brasiliensis (rubber tree). The record is from RNAcentral. Lineage: Eukaryota; Viridiplantae; Streptophyta; Magnoliopsida; Malpighiales; Euphorbiaceae.